UCCUCCAAGACCGAUGUCCCUUGGCUCUUGUGGGCCAAUUCAAAAAAACCCUAGCAGGAUGGAUAUAAAAGCAAGAACAUUCUCCUGAUGGAGGGGGCGGCUACUGUUCAAAAAGGAAGAGGACGAACCCCUAAGAACACCACAACGAAAUCAAUCAGAGCGAUUCUUGAGAACCCAAACAAAACUGUAAAACUGUAAAAGAAUGGAGUCCAAAGGAAAAGGAAGAGAAGCGGUCACGUAGCUAUUCAUCUGCUCCAAAGUACCCCGAUCCGGUAAAUUUAUUGCCCAUUUCUGUGUUUCAUUCCCAGAUUCACGAAUGUGUGCAUAGUUCCUCUCUUCCAUGCUUUGUUUUAUUUCUCUGCAAAAUGAUUGUCCUUUUUUUUGUCGUUUGAUGUUGGAGGUUGACUUCGUGGAUUAGGGUUCAAGAUUUGGUAGAUGUUAAUUGGAUUUGUUCCUUUUUUUUCUUAAUGCUAAAAUUUGGUUUGUGUAAGGAGAAAUAAACUUUGAUUUAUUCCGUAAGUGUUUCAAGCUGAGAAGAGAAGGAUUUGAAGCAGAGCAGAACACUCCAUGUUCCGUUUCGCUUUUGUAUCAAAAUGAGUUUUAAGGCCAAAGAUGAACGGUGCCUUUCCCCUUGCCCGAGAUUAAUAUUGUUUUGUUUCACCCUAGGCUUUAAUGGACUUCUUUCUCGGUCACGACGUGUGGUCGUUGGGGUGGGAGAAUCUUGUCUCCACACGUGUCUUCUUGCGGAAGGUGGAGGGUUUUGCUGGAUCCGACCCAUGGUUUCGGAUAACCCGGAUGGAUCCUGCCCAUUUGGUCCUCCUAGGUUGACGACCCACCCCCGCUCCGUCUACUUUGCUGCGCCUUGAUGGGCCUUAGGAGCAUUCAGGGCCCACCGUUUUUUUUUACUAUUUUUGUUGGCAUUUGUUUUGUUUUUAUUAUUUCUCUUUUUCUUUUCUUUCAAGAAAUAAUUUUAUUUAUUUAAAAUGAAGUUUUAUUUAUCAAUUAGGUUUUUUAUCAAUACCUAAAUUUUAGUCAUAUAAUUCACUAUUAUUAUUGCUAUUAUCAUCAUCCUUAAUUAUCUACUGUAACUUAGACUUUGAUUUAUUUCCUUCUUGGGAUUUAUGUGAGUUAUCACACUUAGUCUUGUUUAUUCAUUCGUACAAAUUGUCGACUUUUGGUGCGUGUGAUAUGUCACAAUCACGAUAAACCAUUUCAAUUUCAUGAAGAAAAAAGAAACCCAUUCAAACCAAUUUCAAAAAAAUAAACCAUCCAUUUCUCGAUUCAAUGUCGAGUCCAUUUUUCAAAUACCUUUUAAGUCGACUGCUUUUAAGCAUCGCCAUCAACCUCACAUAGCUUACUCUUGGGCUUCCUUACAAUAAGACCGUUCUCUCGCACUUACACUCAUGCAUUGUUUAUUCGUUGUUUGAGCCCGAGUUAUUUACUUAAAUAUCUUGAGUACCCAUUUGACAAAAUGUACCCUCAUUCCCAUGAUGUGUAAUAAUAUUACUAUUUUAUUUCUUUAUCUUCUUGACUACUUAGCUAGCUACUAACACGAGAAUAAAAUCAACCUUUUUCAGAAGGAUCAAGAAAAUAAAGACUCGACCCAACGUCGAGCAUUUUCUCUAUAAACAAUAUUCAUUUGUUUCUACCUAUUCCCUUUUCUUUCAAACCACUUCAUUUCAAAUCUUUCUCAAUCACUCAUCAAAUGCUUGAUCCAACGUUAAGCCGCUUUCACAAUAAAAACUCAAAAAACAAAUUAAUAUUUAAGACCUUUUCAAUAAAGAUGGAUGUGGAACGUGGUGGAUACCACGCACUCCUGAGACUAAGGUUCGAGAUGGAUGUCUCGCCGAUCUUAGCUCUCGCCGUCAUCCAAAUCUAUCUAUUUUGUUUCUUUCAAACCUUCAUUCAAAUUUUUCUUAAUCGUCCAUCAAAUACUUGAUCCAACGUCAAGUCAUUUUCAUAAUAAAACGAAAAAAUACUUAAUGUCUAUCUAAACACUUUUCAAUAAAGAUGGAAAUGGAACGUGGUGGAUACCACGCACUCCUGAGACUAGGAUUCGAGAUGGAUAUCUCGCCUAUCUUAGCUAUCACCAUUAUCCAAAAUUGUCAAUGCAGUUUCUUCAAACCCUUUUCUCAAUCAAAAUCAAAAACACUUAAUUCUUAUUAAAUACUUUUGCAAAUAAGAUGGAAAUGGAACGUGGUGGAUACCACACACUCAUAAGACUAGGAUUCGAGAUGGAUAUCUCGCCCAUCCAAGUUCUCGCCAUUACUCCAAAGACAUCAAACCAAUCAAUUUCUUUUCUCGCCGUCGUGCGAUUGAUCCUUAAACCUUUUCUCAAAUGAAAUGUACUUUGUUUCAAAACAAUGCAAGGCAAUGUUUCUCCACCUGUUUUGGGUAGUCUAACAAUGUUUUCGUCGAUUGACACAAAGUAGCUUUCGCUAAAAUCGGCCAACAAACAAACAUUUUUCUACCCAGAACUACAUAAGCCUUGAUUUCUCUAUUGAGAUACGUAGGAGCAGGAUUUGUAAAUCUUGUCAGGCCCAUUAAUAAAAAACUUAGGUUUAGUCCUUUGUCGAAAAUCCUAAAACAUUUUUCUCUCUUCCAUUCUUUCUUUCCCACCUAACCACUUGAAAAGCCUAACAUUUCAAACUAACACUAAUGCGCACAACUAACAUAAUGGUUCCCGUUGAGUACAACGGACGUGAGGGGUGCUAAUACCUUCCCCUUGCGUAAUCAACUCCCGAACCCUGAUUUGGUUGUGACGACCAUAAUCAUUAUCGUUCUUUCUUGGGUUUUAUCGAUAUUUCCCCUUUCCUUUUAGGAAUAAAUAAAGUUAGGUGGCGACUUUGUUCAGUCCAUCAUUGCGAGCGUGCAAUUUUGCACUUCGCUAAGUCGUAUUCCCAUUUUCCGAGGUACGACAGAUGGCGACUCUGCUGGGGACAUGUCGUUCCCUAAGUGAGUCAAGCCUAGUUCGGACGUUUGUGUGCCUUUGUUUGUUUAAUUGUGUGGAUUUUCUUUAUUGCUUUUAUUAUCUUUAUUGUUAUAUUGAUAUAUCUGUUGUAUAUUGGUUCCACUAUGUUGUAGUACUUGGAUAUUUUGAUUGCAAAACCUGUGGGAAAGACUCUAUACCCGAGUCUAGAGUGGAAAAAAAAUGAGAUAGGACGAUGGUUGAGUAGUACAGACUCCCGAGGUGAAUACUUCAUAAGAGUCGGUAUGAGAACCUCACUUAGAGUAGAUCCUUUUGCAAAUAUUAUCGCCCGAGGUGGAUACUUCGUAAGCUUCAAUAUUUCAAAGGGGUCCAUGACUCUAAGAACCUUUUAGAACAUUGAACCUUUGGCCAACUAGAAAUGAUGGUUGCGUAGUAUGGAUUCUCGAAGUGAAUACUUGUAAGAAUCGGUACGAGAACCUCGCUCAGAAUAGAUUCUCUAGAUGGAGUUGACGAUCAGAAAGUAUUUUCCGUAAGCGUCAAACAUUCUUUCGAAUCCAUGACUCUUAGUACCCGGUCUAGAACCAAGUUGAGGGUUGCGUAGUACGGACUCCUGAGGUGAAUACUUCGUAAGAGUCGGUACGAGAACCUCACCCAGAAUAGAUUCCCUUGAUGGAAUUGAUGACCAGAAAGCAUUUUCCAUAAGCGUCAAAUAUUCUUGCGAAUCAAUGACUCAGAGGAUCCUUUGUAACAAAACCUUAGAUCACACCCGGUGAGAACCCCAUUUUGGAAAUGCAAUCAGAUUUAUCCAUACCUCGGGCCUUUGAACCUGUACCAAAAUAAAACAUUGCAUCCAUUCAUUCAUUGCAUACGCAUAAAAAGCAAAACUCUUAGUUUGUUUCGCAUUAUUUCAGGAAUCCAAGACUUGUUAGCAAAAUGAAUCCUGAGAGAAAAAGCACUUUUCAAUUCAAAUACCAGAACGUGGACCUUGCCAGCCUGCAAAAGUUGAAUGCCAAAGUAACACCGAUCAAACUCAACAGCUUUGUGCAAGACUAUGGAAGAAUUCUGGACAUCCUAAAUGAGAAGAUGGACAUGAUGACCGCAAUGACUAUUGCUCAGUUCUAUGAUCCACCUCUACAUUGUUUCACGUUUUCUGACUUCCAAUUGGCUCCUACCUUGGAGGAGUUUGAGAGGAUCAUAUGCCGGAAUUUAAAGGAUCAUGAUCCAUUUCCGAAGUUUGAUGAAGGUAUUCCUCCAAAGAGGAUAGCUUUAGCUUUGGGUCUGAAGGUUUCUGAAGUCGUGGACAAUUGGGAUGUGAAGGGAGCUUUCAAUGGUUUUUAUAGGAAGUUCUUGGAAUAUCAAGCUAAGAAGAUGGAAAAGGAGGGGAAUUGGGAAGCUUUCUAUGAUGUGUUAGAUGUGUUGGUAUAUGGGAUAGUUCUUUUCCCAAUAUUGACCAUUUUGUGGACCACCUGGCGGUGAGAAUCUUUCUCUCUGGUAACCCUGUAUCGUUCCUCCUAGCAGACCUUCACUACACUCUCCAUGGUCGUCAUGAGAAGAAGGGAGGAACCAUUUUAUGUUGUGCACAGCUGUUGCAUGCCUGGCUUAGAUCUCAUAUGCCCGAAGAUGGCCCUUUCGUCUCGAAGGAACUCAAGCCCUCCCAGAAGUUAGCUUCCCUCACCUCCAAUCAUGUUAAGUGGUAUAUCAGGGAUUGGGAAACCGAGGAUGUUAUUGUCAGCAUUGGAGACUUCCCUAAUGUACCUUUGAUAGGAACCAAGGGUUGCAUCACUAUAACCCUGUGUUAUCUUUGAGGAAGCAUAGUUACCCUAUGAAUGGCCCUCCAAAAGCUGAAGCUUUAGAGCCUUUCAUCUUGCACAGUGCUGAAGCAGAUCAUCCCAUAGUGAAGAAGAUCAAGAGGUCUUGGCAAGCAGUUAUCAAAAAAGGUAAGGAAUUGGGUAAGAGAAAUGUCAUCGCUCGAGAGCCUUAUACUUGUUGGGUGAGAGAGAGGGUUCAAAUGGUUAAACUCCCUUUUCCAUUUGAUCCUUCUAUCUAUUUGUCGGUUCCUGGGCCAGAACCCAUAUUACCUGAAGAUGUGGAGAAGCUUAAUGCCCGUAUUAAGGAGCUGGAGUUGGAGAAUGCUGACUUAAGGAUUAAGCUCGACCGAGUCUCGGUAGAGAAUGGGAAUUUGAAAGAUGGUCAACAGAAAAAGGACAAAGAGUUUGAAAUCUCCAACAAAAUAGCUAGGGAGUUUAAGGCAAGGAGAGAAAAGUUCGGAUAAGCGCUCUACAACACUAAAUCUGUGUUCAAGACAAAGGAGGAUGAGUUGGAUAUAUCUUUACUCCGGAUUCAAAAACUCAACAAGACUCUGGAAUUGACCCUUGAAAUGAAAAGGGAAGCACGAAUGAUUUAUGAGAUUCGUACUCGUGAACUGGAGAAUACCAUUCAGAAAUGCAAGGAUACUCUGGAACGCGAGAAGCUAAGGACUGAAGAGUUGGAAAGAGUUUGCACACGGCUGAAUUAUUAGUUGGAACAAGCCAAUGCUAGAACCCAGGCACUUGAAAGUGGAGAUCAGGAUGCUGCCUAUCUGAUGUUGCUGGGUGAGUGCAGAUACUGGAGAAACCUCUAUAGGGACAUAGAGGUGACCAAGGCUGAAGACUUGCGCAUCAUUCAAGACCUCCAAGGGCUUUACACUGAGUGGAAGGGCAAAUUUCUGAGGCUGUCCAGAUUUGUAAAUUCCGUCAUGCAAGAGCUACCUGAGAAACUGCAAGAAGAUGAUUGGUGCAUAUGUCCAUAGAACACCCCACAUUAAGUUUUUAAUUUUAUUAAAUUUUGUAAGGCGAUGUUGGAAGGGUUGACUACCGACCUUGCUAUGGUUCAGAAAUCCCAUAAGCCAUAAGCAUUUUGUUUAUAUUUGAAUUUUGUUCUAAACUAAUGAAAAAAUUGCUUUUGGGAUUCAUUUUAUUGUGUUUUAUUGCUUUAUUGCUUUAAAUACUGGUGAACAAAUGUUGUGGCAUUUCUGAAAUGAAUGACUGAAACUAACCAAGAGUUUUGCAAACAAGAUGCAUUCAUACAUGCAUUCAUACAUUUUCAAAUAGAGUCUUACUCCGUCCUUUCUUCCUCCAGUUUCACGCUGAAUCUUCAACACUCGUAUAAUACCCGCGCCCGAGCAAGACAAAGGAUGGCUGAACAAGAGCAAGAGAGCGCCCGAGUUAGAGUUGAACUAGACGAGAUCAAAGGGGGCAUGUCCCAGAUGAGGGAAAUGCUACAAGCUUUGACUUUCAGAUUUGAGGUUCUGCAAGCGACCGUGAUUUCAGAGACCACGGGAGCAGUAGUGGAAGUCCAACAUCAGAGGAUGUUACCCUUAACCCUUCCUCCAUAUGGGAUACCUUACGACUUCGUCCCUCGAGCGGAAGUAGUGCACAACAUGGGGCAAUCUAUCCAACAAGCCGUGCCAUUACCGGUUUACACUGAUGCACGCCCAGUCAUCCAUAUUGUUGCUCCACCAGCUGCCUAUGCUAGGCAUAUUUCACACUUUGAAGAUCAACAUCACAUGUAUUAAACUAUCGACUCAACCUUUGUUGGUGACGAAGUAAGAUUUGAAGAUUUCAGAGAAGUAAAGGAGAACAUGCAACUCCUUGAGAAGAAGUUCCGAGAUUUAGAAGGAGACCACGUCUUUGGAUCUGUCACCAACGAAAUGUGCCUUGUAUCUGGGUUGGUGAUUCCGGCAAAAUUCAAAACUCCAGAAUUCGACAAAUACAAGGGGCAUACUUGUCCAAAGAGCCAUCUCAUCAUGUAUUACCAAAAAAUGGUUGCACACUUGGAAGACGACAAGCUGAUGAUCCACUAUUUUCAAGAUAGCUUGAGUGGGGCUCCUUCCAAGUGGUAUUUAAGUCUGGAUUAGAAUAGGAUCAGAUGUUUCUAAGACCUGUCAGACGUGUUCAUAAAACACUACAAAUACAACAUGGACAUGGCACCUGACAGAAGACAGUUGCAAAGCAUGUUCCAGCAUGACAAAGAGUCCUUUAAGGAAUAUGCUCAGAGAUGGAGGGAACUGGCUUCCCAAGUUGAACCACCUCUAGCCGAGAAGGAAUUGGCUGAACUAUUCAUCGACACUGUCCAACCCCAAUUCUAUGAGAAGAUGGUUGGAAGUGCUUCCUUGGGAUUCUCCGAGUUUGUUGCUAUAGGGGCUCGCGUCGAAUAUAGUUUAAGAAAUGGCAAACUUACAGCUGUAACUGGAACUUCAAAUGCUAAUCCGAAGAAGUUCACUGGAGGGUUUCCCAGAAAGAAGGAAGGGGAAACAAAUGUUGUGACUGUUGGCCAAGGAAGAGCCCCUCCAAGAAGGAGACAACAACAAUAUUCACCUCAGCAGUAUGUUCAACAACCUUGUCCAUAUCAGCAGCCCCUGUAUCCCGUCCAGUACGCCCCACAACUGUAUGUAGCUGUUGUGACGCAUGUAUUCAAUCAACAACCUGCUCAGGCUUAUCAAGGGCCUCCAGUUUAUCGACCAGCUCCAGUUCAACAACGUGUUGUGAUUCCUCCAUCUUAUCAACAAGCACCAGCAGCUCCUGUCUAUCAACAGCCGAGAGCUCAAGUUCCAAGGUAGAAUGCUCAGAACCAGAAUAGGAGGUAAGGGGAUAGGGCGACAUUCAAUCCAAUCCCAAUGUCGUACGCUGAGCUUUAUCCCUCCCUGUUACAAAAGGGUUUGGUGGUUCCCAGACCUAUGGGACCUCCACCUGAUCGUCUGCCUCCAUGGUACAACCCUAAUGCACACUCACCUUUUCAUGAAGGUGCCCCCGGGCACGACCUAGAGGGUUGCUAUGCUUUGAAGCAUAGGGUUUGUGAGCUGAUUGACAACAAGAUCAUGUCUUUUAAGGAUAUGGGACCGAAUGUGAAGAAUAAUCAUCUUCCUCCCCAUGGAGAUCCCGCAGUGAACACCAUUGAAGAUGCCUCUGUUGGUGUUAUGGUUGAGAAGGUGGAGGGUGUCAAGACUCCUUUGGUAGCGCUCCAUGCCCGGUUGAUGGAAUUUGGCCUGAUUAAUGUUAAUCAUGAAAAUUGUGAAGAGUGUGCCACAUACCCAAGGGGGUGUCAGGUGGUACGAGAUAACAUUCAAGAUUUGAUGAAUAAAGGAGUGCUUCAGAUAUCCAAUGUUAUGAAGGAUGAAGAUGUGUUGGUAAUUAAACCUUGCUUCAAUUUACCCGAACCUAUUGAAAUCCCAUAUUACAGUCGUGGAGUGGUUCUUACGAAUAGUCAUCCGUCACCCGUUGAGAUAUGUAUGCCCACGCCUUUUCCAUAUGAGAGCACCAAGGUUGUGCCUUGGAAAUAUGAGAUUAUCGCUGUGGACAAGGUUGUUGAAGGAAGUGCAGACGUUGAAGUGACAGAAGUUGUAAGUGAAGACGUCACCAAUAUUGCCGAAAUGAGCAAAUGACCCAUAGUGGUCGAAUCUAUACGCCUGAAUUCAAUGUGACUCCUCAAGGGUCGACCAUGGAACCUACAGUUGCAACUCCCACUAAAGAACCCGAAGUGGUCCAAUAUGGAGAUGUUAUUGAAUUAUUGAAGUUGAUCAAGAGAAGUGAUUACAAAGUGGUGGAUCAACUGCAUCAGACACCCUCUAAGAUCUCUAUUAUGUCUCUGCUAUUGAACUACCAAGCCCAUAGGGAGGCUUUGUUGAAGGUUCUUGCCCAAGUUCAUGUAACACAAAACAUAACAGUAGACCAGUUUGAUGGGGUGGUUGCGAACAUCACAGCUUGUAAUACUUUGAGCUUCAGUAGAGAGGAAUUACCUGAAGAUGGACAAAAUCAUAAUCGUGCUCUCCAUAUCUUGGUAAAAUGCAAAGAUGAUGAUUUGGCAAGAGUCUUGGUUGAUACCGGGUCUUCUUUGAAUAUGAUGCCAAAGAGAACACUCGCCAAGUUAUCUUAUCAAGGACCAGCUAUGAAGCCUAGUGCCUUGAUAGUGAAAGCUUUUGAUGGUUUUAGAAGACCCGUGAUUUGAGAGGUUGAACUGCCCAUAUUGAUUGGCCCUCAUGUAUUCCUAAUUAAUUUCCAAGUCAUGGAUAUUAAUCCAGCGUAUAGCUGCUUAUUGGGGCGUCCUUGGAUUCAUGCGGCAGGGGCAGUCACCUCCAUUUUACAUCAAAAAAUGAAUUUUAUGGUGGAUAAUCAACUGAUCAUCAUUUCUGGGGAAGAGGACUUUGUGGUUAGUCAUCUUUCAUCCUUCAGAUAUAUCGAGGCUGAUGAGGACGCUUUGGAAACUUCUUUCCAAGCUCUUGAAAUAGCCAAUGCCAUAUUUUUGGAGAUGAGGGACCCGGUUGGGAAAGCUUGUUCAUCUUUCGCUUCUUUGAAAAGCGCCAAGUAUAGUAUUGAAGGAGGAAACCCUGAAGGUUGGGGUCAACUUAUUGAUGUUCGUGAGAAGCAUGAUCGCUUUGGUCUGGGAUAUGUGCCUUCCACUGCGAAAGGAGCCCGAGUCCCUGCAAAGGACAACACUCGAAGCAUCCAGGAAGUAUUCCUCAGUACAGGAUUCAUCCAUGGAGAUCAGGUCAAUGCAAUUGGAGAUAACACUAAAGACGAAGAUGACCCAUGUUUGGUUUACCGGUGUGAGACAGCUUUGAACAAUUGGAAGGCGGUUGAGAUCCCUGAAAUUUUUCCUUUGUCAAAGUAAUAAUUAUUGUUUUUCCUUUCAAAUCCUUAGCUCUGCCCAAGGCUAAUUGAUCAUGUUGUAGGGCCCCUUUUCAUUUUUAAAUAAUCAUUAUCAGUGAAAAAAAGGCAUUUCGUUAAAUUCUUAUUAUUUAUUUGCUUUCUCUUAAGAAAAUGCCAAUCUUUUCAAAAGACAAAAACUUUUCAUUUGUGCAUCUUUUACUUUUCCUUUUCUAAAAAAAACCAAUCAUUCAAACAUACAGAAUAAAUGAUAACCCCGUUGAAUCCAAUGACUCUACUCCCUCUCAUAACUUUGACUCCCCUAUCUACCAAGCUGAAGAAGAGGGCAAGGGAGAUUGUUACAUCCCCGACGAAUUGGCAAGGCUGCUCGAGCACGACUCCAAAGCCCUUCAGCCACAUGAAGAACCGGUGGAAACAAUCAACCUUGGCACAGAGGAAGAGAAGAAAGAAGUCAAAGUCGACACCACGCUUGAAGCAAGCAUCAAAGAGAGAUUGGUUAAGCUGCUACAAGAAUAUGUGGAUGUAUUUGUAUGGUCAUACCACCAAGCAUGCUUGAAUUUUAUAUUAUUGCUUUUAUUAUUUUUUUUACUAACCAAAAGCACAAAAAUAUGUCACUAACUUGUUUUGUUUUGUAGCUUGAGCAAUCAUGUGAUCCAAGGCUCCUAGGAGACCCCUAUGUUCAUUGAUGUGGCUAGAUGAAGUUGAAAGCAAGCAUGGAAAUGGUUCCCAAAGCUCUCAAUCAUCAUAUAUGCCUCCCAAGUAUCUCAAUUUGUCAAUUUGAUCAAGAUAAACCAAAAGGCUUGAGGAUUGUUUCCCAAGGAAACCUUAAUUCAUCUGUGCAUUGACUUUGCCUUGCUCAUGAAGCAACCUCAACCCAUGAUCAAAUACAAUCAAGGGAAGUUAUUUCAUUCAUCAUUUUAUGCAUAUAUGUGUCUAUGUGAGUAUCCUCAAUCAUCAAUUCAUUAAGAUUUGAAGUUUGGACUUGAGAAGUUGAUCAGUCAAUUCAUCUGACUAUUUUGAGAUCCACUGAGACCUAACUUUUGAUGUGUUUGUCAAAUGAAGCUGACCCUGGAUCCAAAAUGUUCCUAAGAACCAUAUGAACAACUUUCAUGUUCAUCAAAAAUUUAUUUUAAGCUUGGAAGGUCAUCAUUCAUUUCAAAACAUUAUAGGUCAUUUUGACUGAAACCCUAAUUUUGGGUCAACUUCCCAAGGACAUAACUCACUCAUUUUCCAUGAUUUUGAGGUGGGAUCAAAUUCAUUGGAAAGUUUAAGAUGUCUAAUUCAAUUGUUAUGUUGAACAAAAUUUCAUAAUCAUAAACGAAACACAUGUGAUAAUACAAAACAUUAUAGGUCACUUUGGACCAAAGCCAUUGAAUCUUGAAAAAGCCCAACUUCAAGUGCCCAUAACUUUCUCAUAAAAAAAUCCAAAUGAUGCACAAUUUAAGUCCAAAUUUAUUGUCUUGAAAAGAGCUACAACUUUUAUAUUUAAGGUUUUGCCAUUUGAGGCUUGCAUCAUUGAAACAGAAGGGCUUGAAGUUGGUCCAUUUUGAAAAAAUUCACAUACACAUGUUUUGUACAUUGAACGUCAUGGUCUAUUUUCAUAAAUUUCCCAAUCCCAAAUGGAUUUUUGUUCAACAUAACAAUUGUUCCUCAUGUCAAGACCUUUCCAACCAUAACCCACAUGACCAUGUUUCAAUUUGGCAAAGUGCAUUUUCGAAGAGGAGAAGAUUUAUGUUCAUUUAUGGAAACCAUGUCAAAACUCCAUGCACAAGCCAAUUCCAUGAGAUCUGCACGUCCAAAACACUCCAAUUAUGCUUCAGCUUGCAUUUGCCAUCAAGUUUGGGCCUCCCACGUGCCUGUACAGGCCCAUGCAUGGAGGCCCUCAUUCCACAUGCACACGAGUGUGGCAAGGCUUGCAUCAUCUCAUGCUAUAAAUACAUGUGCUUGGCUUCAUUCAUUGGCAACCUUAAGGCGCCUAACACUCUGCAGAAUUGAAAUCCCACCUUUCACUCAAAGGAAUUUUGCAUUUCUUCUUCAAUUUUUUAGUUCAAUUUUCAACUUCCUUGGUUGAUUAUCGAGCUUCAAUUCCUAAGCCUAGCUACUUUGCCAUCUCAAGAUCAUAUUGCAACAAAGAAUUGGAAGAGAUCGUGCCUUGUAAAGUGGCACUUCAAAGGUUGUUGUUCAAACUUUUUCCAUUCGAAUCUCCCUGGAUUUUGCUCAUUUCUUGUGUUUGUUGGUUCCUCUGAAGUCCUCAUGUGAGAGGCAAUUGAUCUGUGCAUUUAAUUUCAUGAAUUGAUCAAGUUCUGAUUGGACACCAUAAACUUCCAUCUCAGAUUUCUCUUCAUGUAGUGAUCUUGAGUGGAAACCAAUGGUACAGGGGUGAUGUACAUCACCCCCAGCUUUCCAAUGAUAUGAGGAUCGUGUAUUUUUAUGAAGCUUUUAAAACUUGCAACUCUGGCCGGAGCUGGCUUGCUCGCCGGAGAAGACGGUGGUGUACACCACCGUCCCCCAUGCGUGGAUACAUUUGGACCGUUUGUUCUCUUUUCCAGUUUGAAUCAGAGCCUUUGGAUGUUAUGACUUUUAAUAAUGAUGUGUGUUUCUCCUUUGACUCUGGAUCACCAUGAGCGUGCGCCUUACAGCCUCUUGAUGCGCGACAUCAUUUAAUGAAAUCAGAUCAAACGCUCCCUGUUUUUUUCUAAUUUCUGAUUUUCUAUUUUAUUUUCUUUUUAUUUCCUUUUAUUUCAAAAAUUCAUAACUCUUUCAUUUUAAAUCCAAAAAAUAUGGAAUUAAUUGUAUCAUUUCCCUUUUUAAUUCUAGUUGCUGAAAAUGAUUUUUAAUAUUUUUUAUGAGUUCAUUUAAUAUUUUUUGUGAAUUUUCUCUUUUCUGGUUAUUUUUUAAUUCAUUUAAAAUAGUUUCCAAUAUCCAAAAAUGCCAAAAAUAUUUUGUUAACAUCUUUGAAUGAUGAUGAAUCCAUGAAAAAUAUUCUCAUCAAUUUCUUAAUUGAUUUGAGAUUUAUUUGAGAUUUUAGUUUAAUUAUGUUAUUUUUUAUUCAUUUUUAAUUGUUUAAAAUUAGUUUCUGGUUUCUAAAAAUGAUGAAAAAAAUUGUCAAAUCUUGUUUGACCUUGUUAAACUUAGGAUGAUCCAUUUGGACUUUUCAAAGUUGAUUUGAAAUGGAUUUGAAGUUUGACCUUUAUUUGUUUAUUUUAAUUCAACUAUUAUUUUAAUUCUGAAAAAUACCAAAAAUAUUUUAUUUGUUUCUUGACUUCUAAGUUUCAUCUUGCUUCUGUUUACCAUUGGUUGACUUUGAUUCCAUUCAUGUUUGAUCAAUGUGUGUUGGAUAUUUCAUUUGAAUUCCAUUUAUGUACAUUUUUAUUCUUCUUCUUCAUCAUCUUUUUUCUUUUUGAUCAAUGAGUUAAAGAUUGGUGGUUAGCCUUGACAUAUGAGAGGCUUAACCUUCCUUGGUUCAAAUCAAAUUCAUCUUGAUCAAAGAUCAAGUGAAUUGCUUUGCAUUAAAAGAUUGGUGGUUAGCCUUGACAUAUGAGAGGCUUAACCUUCCUUGGUUCAAAUCAAAUUCAUCUUGAUCAAAGAUCAAGUGAAUUGCUUUGCAUUAAGGAUAGGUUACUUCUUGGUCAAGCAAAAAACCUAAAUCAAUACAAGAUCAUUCUUCUUUUCUUUGGGCAUGGCAAGUUGUAGGAGCUUGGCUCACUAGUCAUGAUCUCUAACUUGUGUUUGUUGUCUAUAGUUUUAUUGACCGACCUCAGAUAGGUGUGACUACUACAUUAGUCCACUUACGAUUACUUAACAUGGAGCUAAAUUGCCUUAUGACACACUAAUACUAACUACUAAUGACUAACUUUUAAUUCAAACAUUUAAUUCUUGCAAUUUACUUUAAUGCAAUUUAAUAUUCUUGUACAUUAAUUCAUUUGCUUCUGCCCUUUUCUCACUAGAGCUCAUGUUUAUGUUAAUGCAAUUUGCCUUUUGCUCACUUGAGCACAUUAUUGUGUAUAUACUAUUGUGCUUGUUUUGUUUUGUUUGAGUGAAUCCAAUGCAAAUGAGCAAAGGACUUAGUUUUUAGGACCUUACCUAUGCUAAUGGAGUUUGAAGAACAACUAGGCCUCAUGCCUUUAGAGUGCUAAAAAUGUCAAAGAGCAACUAGGCCUCAUGCCUUUAGAAUGCUUAAUGUUGAAGAUGAAUUGAAAGGACCUAAUUCUAAACUCACUCUUGUCCAUUCUUUCUAUUGCAUUGUGGAACUUUUUUAUUUGUGUGUUCUUGUGUGCUAGGAAUCCUAAAUUUGAGCUACAUAGAAGAACCAUUGUCAUGAGCAUCCAAAGUGAGAGAUACAAAAGCCAAUUGGAAGAUUCCUAGGAGCUUGUUUGGUUGUGUGCUUGAUUGCUUGAGUUAUUUGCUUAUUGCUUGCUAAUUCCAAAGGAAAGGGAACAACUUGGAUCAUCACUAUGAUCUCAAGAAGGGAACUCCAUGUGGUUUUAUUUCUCUUCCUUCAUCUUUGUAUGUUUAGGACUUAGCCAUUCUCUUCUUCUCUCCACUCUAACCCAAGCCAGACGUUUAUGCAAACAUUAACAUUGUUUUCAAAAUUAGAAACCUAAGCACUAUGCUUCUGAUUUUUUCAAACUCUUUUCAUAACACUUAUUUUGAAUUGAAUCCUAAGUCAACUUUGACCUUACUUUGUAAACACUUUUCAUUGGUAAAUACAACUCACUCAAUUGUUUAUGUUGUUUCAAUGGCCACUUCUUACCAAAGCUUUUCAUAAACAUUAGCUAUUAGGUUUGAGUUAUCCUAGAGGUGGAUAUAAUACUCACCUAUAUCCUUAGUGAUAGACUAUAAGUCUUCCAUGCUUAUUAUAGGGUUAACCCCUCACUAGCAUGUUGAAGCUCUCCUCACAUGGUGGAUUUGUGGUUUUAGGUUGAGUUUUCUCCUUUGAUAACAAAAGACUUAAGGAUUUUGACCAAUCAAUUCACCAACUUCUUUUGAGAUUUUUUACCCCGAACUACGAGGUUUUGAUCCUACCUUUUUAAGAUGGUACGUAGGCAUGGGUUUAUCAUUCAAACACAAAAUUGUAAAUAACUUGUAUAUUCUUUCUCAUCUCCCCAAUCAUGUUUGCACAAAUAUUUUUCACAAAUACCAACCUACCUUACAACAUUUGUAAAAAGGGCUCCCUUAGAGUACUAAGGAUGUUUUGGGUGCUUAAAACCUUCCCAUUUUAUAACCAACCCCCUUACCCAGAUCUCUGACAUUUUUAUUAGUUUUUGAUUUGAUAAAACUUCUCGGUUUUCGUUUGCUUUCUAACCUUUCCUUUGGAUAAAUAGAAGUGCGGUGGCGACUAGAAUUGUAUGAUUUACUUUUGAUUUAGUCAAUAAAUCUAAAGGUAACGAAUACCCCGCUACACCUUGUAGUGGCGAAGUACCCACAAUGGGUAGCUAAUAUUGUACUUGUGCCUAAAAAGGAUGGCAAGGUGAGGAUGUGUGUUGACUAUAGGGAUCUGAACAAAGCUAGUCCAAAGGAUGAUUUCCCCUUACCACACAUUAAUACUCUUGUAGACAACACUGCAAGUUUUGUUGUAUUCUUCUUUAUGGAUGGUUUUUAUGGAUACAAUCAAAUCAAGAUGGCUCCAGAUGACAUGGAGAAGACCACUUUUAUUACCCCUUGGGACACGUUUUGCUACAAGGUAAUGCCUUUCGGUCUCAAAAAUGCCGGGGCAACUUACCAAAGAGCUAUGGUCACUCUUUUCCAUGACAUGAUGCACAAGGAGAUAAAGGUCUAUGUCGAUGACAUGAUCGCUAAAUCUAAGAAUGAAGAAGAUCAUAUGAACCAUCUGAAGAAGCUGUUUGAACGCCUCAGAAAGUUUAGAUUACGAUUAAACCCUGCAAAAUGCACAUUUGGUGUCCGUUCAGGGAAGUUGCUUGGUUUAAUCGUUAGUCAAUGAGGUAUUGAGGUAGACCCUGACAAAGUACGAGCUAUACAAGAAAUGCAUGCUCCACGCACCGAGCGAGAGGUUAGAGGUUUCCUUGGACGUUUGAAUUACAUCUCAAGGUUUAUCUCACACAUGACGGCCACGUGUGAGCCUAUCUUCAAAUUGCUUCGAAAAGAUCAAGUUGUUGAAUGGAAUUCUGAUUGUCAAAGUGCUUUUGAGAAGAUCCGUCAAUACUUGCAAGAGCCUCCUAUUUUGAUUUCACCUGUCCCAGGAAAGCCAUUAGUCAUGUAUCUGGCCGUACUUAAAGGGUCAAUGGUAUGCGUGCUAGGGCAACAUGACGAAACUGGUCUGAAAGAACAUGCUAUUUACUAUCUGAGUAAAAAGUUUACUGAUUGUGAAAGUCGAUAUUCUCUUUUGGAGAAGACUUGUUGCGCGCUGGCAUGGGUCGCUCGUCGUUUGAGGCAGUACAUGAUUUGCCACACUACUUUGUUGAUCUCGAAAAUGGAUCCAAUAAAGUAUAUAUUUGAGAAACCCGCCUUAACUGGAAGACUAGCCCGUUGGCAGAUGCUCUUGUCAGAGUACGACAUCCAGUAUGUAACCCAGAAAGCAAUCAAGGGAAGUGUUUUAGCAGAGUAUCUCGCUCAUCAACCAGUUGAAGACUAUCAGCCAUUGAAGUUUGAUUUCCCCGAUGAGGAUAUAAUGGUGAUAAAGGAUUGUGAGAUCCUAGGCCCAGAUGAAGGACCAUAACCAGGAUCUCGAUGGAAUCUCGCGUUCGACGGUUCCUCCAAUUACAGUGGUCAUGAUGUGGGAGCUGUUUUGAUGAAUCCAAAUGGUGGCUUUACCCCUUUCACAGCAAGGUUGUGCUUUGAUUGUACGAAUAAUGUCGCAGAAUAUGAAGCUUGUAUCCUUGGUCUUGAAGCCGCAAUUGAUCUUCGAAUCAAGAUCCUUAAGGUGUAUGGAGACUCCACCUUGGUGACCUAUCAGGUCAAAGGAGAAUGGGAAACUCGUGAUGCGAAGCUGAUUCCGUAUCGUGCUCAUGUUGUAAAGAUGAUGGAAUACUUUGAUGAUAUCACUUUCCAUCACAUCCCAAGAGUAGAGAAUCAAGUGGUUGAAGCUUUGGAAACAUUAGCAUCAAUGUACCAAUCCAUAUUCUAUAAUGAAGCUCCACUUAUUCGAAUCGAGCGAAGAGAUGAGCCUGCUUACUAUCAAUCGAUUGAAGAAGAAACUGAUGGUAAACCUUGGUUUCAUGAUAUCAAGCGAUAUCUUCUAAGUCAAGAGUAUCUAGAAGAUGCUACAUUGUUGGAUAAGAAAACGCUGAGGAGGUUAUCAUCCAAAUUCUUUUUGAGCAAUGAUGUGCUUUACAAGAGAAACCAUGACAUGGUUCUGCUGAGAUACGUGGAUAGACACGAAGCAGGCCUGUUGAUCAAGGAGAUUCAUGAAGGAUCCUUUGGAACCCGUGCUAAUGGGCAUGCCAUGGCCAAGAAGAUUUUGAGAGCUGGCUAUUAUUGGUUGACCAUGGAGUCCGAUUGUUUCAGCUAUGCAAGAAAAUGUCAUAAAUGUCAGAUCUAUGCUGACAAAGUGCAUGUAUCGCAAACACUGUUAAAUGUUAUAACAUCACCUUGGCCUUUCUCAAUGUGGGGCAUCGACAUGAUUGGUGCUAUAGAGCCUAAGGCUUCCAAUGGUCAUCGCUUCAUCUUGGUUGCCGUUGAUUACUUUACUAAAUGGGUAGAGGCUGCUUCCUACACCAAUGUGACAAGAGAUGUGGUCGCUCGCUUUAUCAAGAAGGAGAUUAUCUGCCGCUAUAGAAUCCCGAGCAAGAUCAUUACUCACAACGGUUCAAACUUGAACAACAAGACAAUGACAGAAUUAUGUGAGAGUUUCAAUAUUGACCACUAUAACUCUUCUUCAUAUCGUCCAAAGAUGAUCGGGGUUGUUGAAGCCGCCAACAAAAAUAUUAAGAAGAUCCUGCAAAAGAUGGUGAAAACUUAUAAGGAUUGGCACGAAAUGCUACCCUUUGCUUUGCAUGGAUACCGGACCCCAAUCUGCACUUCAACAGGAGCAACCCCAUUCUCUUUAGUGUAUGGGAUGGAAGCAAUUCUCCCAGUCGAAGUAGAGAUGCCUUCAAUGAGAAUAUUGAUGGAGGCCAAGCUAGACGAAGCUGAAUGGAUCCAGAACAACUAUGAUCAACUUAACCUCAUUGAUGAGAAGCGUAUGACCGCUCUGUGCCAUGGAAAAUUGUACCAGCAACGAAUCAAGAAAGAGUUUGACAAAAAGGUUCAUCCUCGGGAGUUCAAGGAAGGGGAUCUCAUGCUCAAGAAGAUCCUGCCCAUACACAAAGAUUCCCGUGGGAAGUGGACUCCCAACUAUGAAGGCCCAUACAUUGUAAAAAGAGCAUACUUUGGAGGUGCUCUAUUUCUCACAACUAUGGAUGGUUAAGAGCUCAUUCACCCUGUGAACUCUGAUGCAGUCAAAAGAUACUAUGCCUAACAAAACCCGGUAGACUGAAAACCCGAAAGGGUGGUCCAGGCAAAAGUUAGGGAUAAAAAAACGGUAGCUCGCUAAGUUGAAACCCUGAGAGGGCGACUUAGGCAAAAAGGAGUGUCCCAGUGGAUUGAAAACCCGAAGUGGCGAUCCAUGCAAAAAUUAGGGACAAAAGGCAUAGACUGCAUCAAUGGUCACUGAUAAAUAUAGAAGACCUAAAGGUGGAAGAUCAAUUAAAUUUCUCCCUUCAGAAGCGAGGUUUUGUGGAGUUAUUGUUAUUAGGGAUAGUAGUAGUCAUUGCGAUUCAAUGUAAACCUUUCCCUAUUGCCAUUUUCAAAUGUGUAACAUUCCAUGGAGCUACACCAUUUGUGUGUUACCAUUCUUGAAUAAAUAUAAGUUUUCCUAUCAAAUUCUAUGAUUUGCUAUUUUUCUCUGAUUUUCUUUGUUAUGCAAAAUGCCAUUUAUUUGUUAAUAAUGAAAUUUUGAACUCAAAAAGAACUUUUCAACAUAUUGAGAAACACAAUUUUGCUUUGACAUGUGGAAAUAUUAAAAGGAAAUAUUUCGUCUUUCCCCACAAGUCUCAAGUUGUAAGAUUUAUCUUGGAUGAUUAACAUAUAUCUCCAGAGAGCACGAAUUUAUCAUUCUCCGAAAGGAUUACUGGGCCAGUUGUAACUGUACACUUGAUGGAUCCUCCUUUGAUGUAUUUAGAGUCACUCCUUUGGUUGAGUUGUUGGUAUUAAGGAUUCGGUAUCUCCAUUAAAUCCUUCUAUAAAUUUCCAGUUUGCAUGUUGUCCGCAUUUGCAUAUCAUGAUCAUUCAUGUAUCAUGCAUAUAAGCAAAAUCAAAAUCAUGCCUAGCCCGAAGUAUACUUCGUGCUCAUUUGCAUAGUAUCAGGUCUCGUUGCUGAGUUUGUCCCUUGACCUCUAAGUCCAGUUGUUACUGGCAUCGUUUGUUAAGUCUGGUUGUCACUAGCAUCUUUGUCAAAUCCAGUUGUAACUGGUAUCUCCCUAAAUCUGGUCAUCACCAACGUCUUCUGUCAAGUCCAGUUGUAACUGGCGUCCUAUUUCUAAACCUAGUUAUAACUGGUAUCUUUUUUAAAAGGCUGGUUGUAACCAUCAUUGUCUACGAGCCCAAUUGUUAUUAGCAUUACCUCUCAAGUCCUGUUGUAACCAGCAUCUUAUCUGAAAUCCAAUCGUAAUUGGUAUCUCAAGCAUAGUUGUAAUUGGCACGUUAAUAAAAUCCAUUUGUAAAUGGUAUGAUAAGUCUGGUUGUACCCAGCAUUUGUUUUAAGUCCAGUUGUUAUUGGCAUUAUCUAUUAAGUCCAGUUGUAACUGGCGUACAAAUUGUGAAGUCCAGUUGUAACCGGUAUCCUUUUGAAGUCUGGUUGUCACCAGCGUCUGUUAAAUCCAUCUUUAAAUGGUAUCUUUAAGUCUGGUCGUCACCAGCACCCUUGAAGUCCAGUUGUAACUGGCACUAAUCCGUUUGAAGAUGGUUAUACCAUAUGUUUAUGGUAUAAGUCGAAUUGUGGUUGGCACCUACAGAGAGUUUUUCUAUCAUGUUGGCUCUAGCUUCCUAGAAAGUAGUCGUUCUGAUUCUUUCAUUGACAGGAAUUUCCAAAAAAAUUGGUCGGAUUAUUUUCUUGUGAGAUAUCUCUGGAUUUAUAUAAAUAUAUUCAAGUUGUCAUCAGGUCAUGUCUGAACUUGCUGUCAGAACUUUUUGAUAUUCCCCAUCAUUGUCAGGUCAUGUAUGAACCUGUUGCUGAACUUUUAUUCCAGUGUUAUCGGGUCUACAAAAAUAUAUAUGCAUUCGAGUUGUUAGUAAGUCAUGUGUGAACUUACUGUCAAAAUCUCUUGUACUCCAAGUGUCGUUUAUCAACUUUCACUUUGAGUACUCCCCAGGGUGUGUCUGACUCUCCAGCAGGAUUGUUAUCCCCAGCGAGUUUUUUUACCCCAGUUGCCUAUUUCCCUAUGGGCCAUCAGUAUUCCCCACAGAUUAUUUUGUCUGGCAUACAUCUCCUAUUAAGGAUUCACCAUGUCCCUAACAGAUAAAUUCAGAAGUAAAAAGUCUUUCACCCAUGCAUAUCACAUCAUAGCAUUUUCAUUUCAGGACCAAAAUAUGGGUAUUCUUGGUAUUUAACUAUCUCCUGCCAUGACCAUAUGAAGGUUGUCUUACUUCAUAUUCUCUGGUUGAAGAUACUUAAAUAGGGGAAACUGUCACACCCCGAUUUUGCCCCCGAUAUUCAUGACAUUAUUUCAUUCAUUAUUUGUUCCUCAUGAUUUUGUUCCUCUAUUAUGGUACCCUUUUUUCAUAAGCAUCAAGUGGUCUCCUUUUCUGUUAUUAGUGCACCUUGUUGUUUUAUGCGCAUUCAAGGCAAAGUUCUACCGUCAACAUGUUUAGAUACAUAGGUGCUUUCCGCGUCGGUAGUAAUCAAGGAAUUCGAGGAUUAUUGUGUUUGGAUUAGAGUAUGUGGUCAAAAAUAUUUUUCAUGAAAAGCUUUGAUGAACAUUAUUUGAUUCAAGGAGAUUCCAGUGGUUUACCAUGUUUUAAGGGAGAGUCAUUAUCAUGUGAGUUUUUCAAGAGGCACCAAGCAUGGUUGUCGUCGGAAUCAAGCUAGUGGCCGAAGGCCAUCCUUUAUUUGCAUGGAUUUUAAUAGAUAAUUCAAGGGAAACACAAAAGGAGUCUCAAUCAUGUUCACUAAUUUGGUGUUGAUAUUGGGAUUUAAAUCUAAAGGGGGCAUUUGGUCGAAGCUAAUGAUACUCACAUGCAAACUUUAUGCUUGGAUCCUAAGGUAACAAAUGUGCAUCAUGUUAUUGUUAACCAAGCGCCAUUCAAAGUAGGCUAAGACCAUGUAAGAGCAACUAGUAUGUUAAUUGAGGAAAAUUACAGGCCUUGUAUAUGAUACAAUAAAAUUAGUUGUUGGCCAUUAACACUGGACCAAGCAACCUCAAGAAAAUCUAAUUUGAUUGGUCGCUUCAAGACAGGUUCUAUUUCAAUUUCUACAUCACAAAAUGCUAUCAAAACUUAAUAUCCAAAUGUGUAGAAGCUUGAUGGUAGUUGUGUCUUCUAUAUUCCUUACCACCAUACAAUUGGGUCGACAAUGUAUCCUUAUUACUCAGGACCAUUAUCGCACUUAUAAUUGUAAUACGGUUGGGAGGAUUCACUAUGGUCCUUCAUAGCCAUAUCAGCAUCUGCAAUUAUUUUCUUUGUUGACCCAAUUGUUGUUUCAGCAACAGACUUAGAAUCUUCAAAAAUAUACGGCAUAACCAUUUGCACUGCUAGAUGAUCUUGUGGAUUGCUGCUUAUUUGAUUCAAUUGACGCACCCUUCAACCUGUGCUAGGAGCUGCAAAGGAGAAGCAAAUCAACACUCCUUCUGUCAAAGAAUGGCUUGAUGACUUGAAAGAUGCUGUCUACGAUGCUGAAGAUUUACUCAACCAAACUAGCUAUGAUUCCCUUCACCAAGAUGGAGAACAAACUACCUGCAGCAAAACAACAUCAAAUUGUGAGAUGUGGCAAUAUUUUUGAGAAAAAAAUAUACACAAUGGAACUGCGGAUGCUUUUCGUUCUAAAGUGGUGGAAACCGAGACCAACGGUGCAAAGUUGGAACUACAAAAUCCUAUUGAUUCAGGUGCACAGAUGGAUGACAUGAAAAAACCAUUUAUAACGCCAUCGCCACCUUCAACCUGCAUCCCUAUGCGAAGACAUACUUUCCAUUCUUUUUCUCGCGUUUCACUGCAGUAAAAAAUCAUAAUAAUUUGGUAAGGCAGUAAAAAUUCACAAACAACAAAAAGGAACCUAACAUUUUCACAAGAGAGAGUACAAGGUACAAGUUGCCUUUUUCAGAAUAAAACAUCAAAAUAGGGUAGACAAAGGGAAGCACAAGAGGCGUCCUCAAAGACCGAUGUCCCUUGGCUCUUGUGGGCCAAUUCAAAAAAACCCUAGCAGGAUGGAUUUAAAAGCAAGAACAUUCUCCUCAUGGAGGGGGCGGCUAUUGUUCAAAAAGGAAGAGGACGAACCCCUAAGAACACCACAACGAAAUCAAUCAGAUCGAUUCUUGAGAACCCAAGCAAAGUUGUAAAAGCAUUGAGUCCAAAGGAAAAGGAAAAGAAGUGGUCACGCACCUGUUCAUCUGCUCCAAAGUACCCCGAUCCAAUAAAUUUAUUACCCCUUUCUGCGUUUCAUUCCCAGAUUCACGAAUGUGUGCAUAGUUCCUCUCUUCCAUGCUUUGUUUUAUUUCUCUACAAAAUGAUUGUCCUUUUUUUUGUCGUUUGAUGUUGGAGGUUGACUUCGUGGAUUAGGGUUCAAGAUUUGGUAGAUGUCAAUUGCAUUUGUUCCUUUUUUUUCUUAAUGCUGAAGUUUGGUUUGUGUAAGGAGAAAUAGACUUUGAUUUAUUCCGUAAGUGUUUCAAGCUGAGAAGAGAAGGGUUUGAGGCAGAGCGGAACAUUCCAUUUUCAGUUUCGAUUUGUAUCAAAAUGAGUUUUAAGGCCAAAGAUGAACGGUGCCUUUCCCACUGCCCGAGAUUAAUAUUGUUUUGUUUCUCCCUAGGCUUUAAUGACCGUCUUUCUCGGUCACGACGUGUGGUCGUUGGGGUGGGAGAAUCUUGUCUUCACACGUGCCUUCCUGCGGAAGGUGGAGGGUUUUGCUGGAUCCGACCCAUGGUUUCGAAUAACCCGGAUGGAUCUUGCCCAUUUGGCCCUCCUAGGUUGACGAACCGCCCCUGCUCCGUCUAGUUUGUUGCGCCCUGAUGGGCCUUAGGAGCAUUCAGGGCCCACUGUUUUUUUACUGUUUUUGUUGGCAUUUGUUUUGUUUUUAUUAUUUCUCUUUUUAUUUUCUUUCAAGAAAUAAUUUUAUUUAUUUAAAAUGAAGUUUUAUUUAUCAAUUAG
RNAcentral lists this long non-coding RNA (22860 nucleotides) under Lathyrus oleraceus (garden pea). RNAcentral's name for it is "Pisum sativum (pea) long non-coding RNA (PSAT_LNC031273)". Lineage: Eukaryota; Viridiplantae; Streptophyta; Magnoliopsida; Fabales; Fabaceae. The record is from RNAcentral.